UUGCAAUAAGUAAAUAUAUUGCUCAUCUAUUUUAGCAAUAUACCAAAUGCUGUUUUGCAAUAUUUGGAUCAAUCUUCGAAAUCAAAUUAAAACAACCUGGAAGGCAAGUACUAUUUUGAGUGAUUAAUCCAAAAUACAGAAAGCUGAAACAUUCAGGAUUUAACUCACACUCAGCAGAAUCACAUAAUGAUGAAAAUUGGCACCAAAUAAGUCCACCUCCCUAACAUACACCAAAUUAUGUUUGCUAUACCAAAGACCAUGUCAGUUCAUCAGUCCACAGUCUAACACCAAUAACAACAUGAGUCUUCUUUCACAAUGAGAAAUAAAAAACAAAGUUAUUGACUUGCAGACUAUCACCAACUAAGUUCCUAAUGAACAAAAAAAUUGAACGAAAAAUUUAUGCAAAUAUUCACUUUGUUUCCCCAUUUAUCACUCAUCGAAUUUAAUGUAAUGAAAGGAUACUAAUUUUUAAAAAAAUAGCUGCAUGAUUAGGGAUAUGGUCACUCCUUGGUUCUAUCUUACAAGGUCACCGGUGCCUAAUUUGGUAUAUGUGUUAAUUUUCAACCUAAUGACCACCAGGUCUUCAGAAGCAACAUGUAUAUUUGAAGUGUAUAUCAAUCGUGUAAAUUUAUAUCAACAUGCACCUACAUACACUGCAAUAAUUAGCUACCUAUUCGUACACAAAAACAAGGAAUGGUAUAUUCCCUAUUUCUCCCUUUGUGAAAACAACAGGUGGCUAGAAAAGUGGCAAUAUCGACAAACCAUGGGGAAAGACAGAAUGAGCUAAGUAAGGCAAGGGAAGAGAGAGAGACAAAGAAAGAUGUUUUAAGUUACUUUAGCAAGGGGGAAAUGAGGGCACGCAUGGAACAAGUCCCAUGUCUUCCGCUUCUACUAUAAUAAUCAAUCUCCACAACAUUCCAGGUGCACUGGAGAAAGUAAGACUACUACCAAUAGGGGGAGAGAAAAAAAGACAAAGCGAAACUACAAGUUAUUAUAAAAGAAGCAGAGAUAUUAUGACAGACGCCUUCUCUUAUGAAAGUGCUACAGCAGUUCGUAGACAAAUAUUGACAACCUGAGCUGGUGUUUCCCAACUAAGUAGCCCCUAUUUGAAUGGCAAUGACAGCACAUUCUGUAAAAUGCACACAAGAAAGGAUCAAGUACAAAGGAAGACACAUACGGAAUAUAGAUAUUCAACAGCUCUCUCAGGGUUGUUGUAAGCAGCCCUAAGAGCACGAACAACAGUUUCCCUGUCCCAAGUUCCUCCACCCAUGUCAAUAAUUUGUUGGACUGUUCCGUUAAGGUUACCACCGGCAACCAGGUUGGAUGCUGC
Molecule: long non-coding RNA, 1330 nt
Organism: Rhododendron vialii
Lineage: Eukaryota; Viridiplantae; Streptophyta; Magnoliopsida; Ericales; Ericaceae
Exons: 2
Source: RefSeq, a predicted model, not a curated record